This 1426-nucleotide long non-coding RNA is filed under the name Macaca fascicularis (crab-eating macaque). Its description in RNAcentral is "lncRNA (ENSMFAG00000049199.1)". Lineage: Eukaryota; Metazoa; Chordata; Mammalia; Primates; Cercopithecidae. The record is from RNAcentral.
AUGAUUUGCCAGUGGAUUGAACGUGGGGGAGGAGAGAGAGAACGUCAAGAAAAUGAUGCAUUAUUCGGAGUGUUUAAAUGUGGAAUUUCCGUAAGAGACACCAGUACUGUCAUUAACAAUUAUUCUGCUCCAUCAUCAAGGUUACUGAGUUUUAGUUUUCUCAUUCUCAAGAUGAAAUACUCGCCAGGUGCGGUGGCUCACGCAUGUAAUCCCAGCACUUUGGGAAGCUAGGGUGGGCAGCUUGCUUCAUCUCUGGUGUUCCAAACCACCCUGGACAAUAUAGUGAAACUCUGUAUCUACAAAACAAUGAAAAACUUAGCUGGGCAUGGUGGUGUGUGUCUUUAGUCCCAGCUACUCAGGAGGCUGAGGUGGGAGGAUUGCUGGAGCCUGGGAGGCAGAGGUUGUAGUGAGCUGGGAUCGCAUUACUGCACUCCAGCCUGGGUGACAGAAUGAGACCCUGUCUCAGAAAAACAAAAGAGAUGAAAACUGAUUAUCUAAAGUGUCAUUCCUAGCUGGGGUAUUUUGUUAGGUUAACUGAUUAAUAUGUGAAUUCAAUAAUUCACUAAUCAGCUAUUAAACAACACUAUGUUUUCUAUAUUUUACCAAACGCUUUACAUACAAAAGUGAGCAGAAUAAACAGCUACUGCCAUCACAGAGUCUGAUCUUGUUAGCAAAAUGACAUAUUUUUGAAAUCCCAUUCUUAAUAGGCAAUGACUUCCAAAGAUUUUACGUUGAAGAUUGUACAGGAAACAUGGCCAGUUUUAGAGCAAUUUAAAUAAGAAAACAUGGAAAAAAUUCAAAGAAGAAAGAAGCAGGGAUGAGGUAUUGAAACAGAAACAAACACACAAAUACAGAUUAUGGUGAGAAUAUACUACAAAGCUGAGCAUCAAAUUCCCUGAGCUUUCUAAUAGCUCUGGUGAACAUUUAAGAGAGAUGGGAUGCAGGAUAUUUUCAAAAGAAAGGAUCCCUUUACAAGGAACUUCUAUCGGGUAAGUUUUCAUAGGAGGGCUAUUAAACUACCUAAUUGGUCAUUCCUUCAAUAGCUUCACAAACCUAUGGGAAUGACCAUUGCUUUGCGUCAGGCUCCGGAGGAAAAAAAAAAAAGCCGAUUAGACCGAUUAUCAUUUCCUCCAAAUUCUUACUAUAAGGACGCUCCUCUACCCCAUUGCUCUCCUUUUCAGGGAAAGGGUGUCAUAUAAAGACUAAUAGUUUAUCAACACCUUUUCUUGCCCUGCUUUCUUCUACUUCAUUUAAAACUAGGAUGUAAAUAAGACUUGGGGACACAGAUGCAAGAAACAGGGACUCAAUCCUUUAUAGGGAUCAAGUGGGAAGUGCCUGAAACUGACUACUGAAUCCAUGAAAUUGAGCAAUACCCCCCUCGUAUUAAAUUCAACAUGUCAGGCACUAUUCUAAGCAUGUGAUCACA